This 253-nucleotide ribosomal RNA is filed under the name uncultured bacterium. RNAcentral describes it as "partial 16S ribosomal RNA". It matches the Rfam family "Bacterial small subunit ribosomal RNA", at positions 524 to 776 of the family's 1533-position model. The record is from RNAcentral.
UACGAAGGGGGCUAGCGUUGUUCGGAAUUACUGGGCGUAAAGCGCACGUAGGCGGACAUUUAAGUCAGGGGUGAAAUCCCAGAGCUCAACUCUGGAACUGCCUUUGAUACUGGGUGUCUAGAGUAUGGAAGAGGUGAGUGGAAUUCCGAGUGUAGAGGUGAAAUUCGUAGAUAUUCGGAGGAACACCAGCGGCGAAGGCGGCUCACUGGUCCAUUACUGACGCUGAGGUGCGAAAGCGUGGGGAGCAAACAGG